UCAUCUCCGGGGGUAGAGCACUGUUUCGGCAAGGGGGUCAUCCCGACUUACCAACCCGAUGCAAACUGCGAAUACCGGAGAAUGUUAUCACGGGAGACACACGGCGGGUGCUAACGUCCGUCGUGAAGAGGGAAACAACCCAGACCGCCAGCUAAGGUCCCAAAGUCAUGGUUAAGUGGGAAACGAUGUGGGAAGGCCCAGACAGCCAGGAUGUUGGCUUAGAAGCAGCCAUCAUUUAAAGAAAGCGUAAUAGCUCACUGGUCGAGUCGGCCUGCGCGGAAGAUGUAACGGGGCUAAACCAUGCACCGAAGCUGCGGCAGCGACGCUGAUGCGUUGUUGGGUAGGGGAGCGUUCUGUAAGCCUGCGAAGGUGUGCUGUGAGGCAUGCUGGAGGUAUCAGAAGUGCGAAUGCUGACAUAAGUAACGAUAAAGCGGGUGAAAAGCCCGCUCGCCGGAAGACCAAGGGUUCCUGUCCAACGUUAAUCGGGGCAGGGUGAGUCGACCCCUAAGGCGAGGCCGAAAGGCGUAGUCGAUGGGAAACAGGUUAAUAUUCCUGUACUUGGUGUUACUGCGAAGGGGGGACGGAGAAGGCUAUGUUGGCCGGGCGACGGUUGUCCCGGUUUAAGCGUGUAGGCUGGUUUUCCAGGCAAAUCCGGAAAAUCAAGGCUGAGGCGUGAUGACGAGGCACUACGGUGCUGAAGCAACAAAUGCCCUGCUUCCAGGAAAAGCCUCUAAGCAUCAGGUAACAUCAAAUCGUACCCCAAACCGACACAGGUGGUCAGGUAGAGAAUACCAAGGCGCUUGAGAGAACUCGGGUGAAGGAACUAGGCAAAAUGGUGCCGUAACUUCGGGAGAAGGCACGCUGAUAUGUAGGUGAAGUCCCUUGCGGAUGGAGCUGAAAUCAGUCGAAGAUACCAGCUGGCUGCAACUGUUUAUUAAAAACACAGCACUGUGCAAACACGAAAGUGGACGUAUACGGUGUGACGCCUGCCCGGUGCCGGAAGGUUAAUUGAUGGGGUUAGCGCAAGCGAAGCUCUUGAUCGAAGCCCCGGUAAACGGCGGCCGUAACUAUAACGGUCCUAAGGUAGCGAAAUUCCUUGUCGGGUAAGUUCCGACCUGCACGAAUGGCGUAAUGAUGGCCAGGCUGUCUCCACCCGAGACUCAGUGAAAUUGAACUCGCUGUGAAGAUGCAGUGUACCCGCGGCAAGACGGAAAGACCCCGUGAACCUUUACUAUAGCUUGACACUGAACAUUGAGCCUUGAUGUGUAGGAUAGGUGGGAGGCUUUGAAGUGUGGACGCCAGUCUGCAUGGAGCCGACCUUGAAAUACCACCCUUUAAUGUUUGAUGUUCUAACGUUGACCCGUAAUCCGGGUUGCGGACAGUGUCUGGUGGGUAGUUUGACUGGGGCGGUCUCCUCCUAAAUAGUAACGGAGGAGCACGAAGGUUGGCUAAUCCUGGUCGGACAUCAGGAGGUUAGUGCAAUGGCAUAAGCCAGCUUGACUGCGAGCGUGACGGCGCGAGCAGGUGCGAAAGCAGGUCAUAGUGAUCCGGUGGUUCUGAAUGGAAGGGCCAUCGCUCAACGGAUAAAAGGUACUCCGGGGAUAACAGGCUGAUACCGCCCAAGAGUUCAUAUCGACGGCGGUGUUUGGCACCUCGAUGUCGGCUCAUCACAUCCUGGGGCUGAAGUAGGUCCCAAGGGUAUGGCUGUUCGCCAUUUAAAGUGGUACGCGAGCUGGGUUUAGAACGUCGUGAGACAGUUCGGUCCCUAUCUGCCGUGGGCGCUGGAGAACUGAGGGGGGCUGCUCCUAGUACGAGAGGACCGGAGUGGACGCAUCACUGGUGUUCGGGUUGUCAUGCCAAUGGCACUGCCCGGUAGCUAAAUGCGGAAGAGAUAAGUGCUGAAAGCAUCUAAGCACGAAACUUGCCCCGAGAUGAGUUCUCCCUGACCCUUUGAGGGUCCUGAAGGAACGUUGAAGACGACGACGUUGAUAGGCCGGGUGUGUAAGCGCAGCGAUGCGUUGAGCUAACCGGUACUAAUGAACCGUGAGGCUUAACCUU
Molecule: ribosomal RNA, 2058 nt
Filed under: Escherichia coli KTE156
Lineage: Bacteria; Pseudomonadati; Pseudomonadota; Gammaproteobacteria; Enterobacterales; Enterobacteriaceae
Description: bacterial LSU rRNA
Rfam family: Bacterial large subunit ribosomal RNA
Source: RNAcentral